Molecule: long non-coding RNA, 591 nt
Organism: Neopsephotus bourkii (Bourke's parrot)
Lineage: Eukaryota; Metazoa; Chordata; Aves; Psittaciformes; Psittacidae
Exons: 3
Source: RefSeq, a predicted model, not a curated record
CCUCAGGACGGCGCGGCACAAGCGGCACCCAUCGGGAGGACUUUGGGGUUGAGCACGGGUCCUCCUCAUCGGGACCCGGGCAUGGCGGGGGCGCGCACGGCUGCUCCUCCUCCCGCUGCCGCCAGAGGGCGCCGCUCCCGCGCGGCGGCAGUUCCGCGUCCUCGGCAGGGCCGAGCAGCGGCACCGUGAGGGUACCAGAGAUGUGCUGGAGCAGAAGCUUGAAGGUGUACCAUAAACCACCCCUGGCCUGGAGAAGCUGUAGCUGAAGCAAACCCCUCCUUUGUUCUAGUGACACAAUCCUGUGGCCUAACUCAGCAGUCCUCACGGGGCCCUGCUAGGAGUGGUGACACAUCCUCGGGGCCCAUGAGCUGCCGAGGGUUUUGCUUUCCUGUUUCCCAUAACGAGUUGCUUUCUGAGCAGCCUCAGUGGCCUUCAUCCCGUGGAUCUCCGGGGAUGGCUCCAGCAGAAAUAGGUAGGCUUGCAGUGCUCACAUGAAGGUGCUGUCCAGCUCCAAUUUUGCAGGUAAUCGAGUCCACUCAGUGAAGCUGAACAAUUUAAUCCAUGUCUGAUGAAGCCUUGGAUGUAAUUUAU